RNAcentral lists this long non-coding RNA (482 nucleotides) under Homo sapiens (human). RNAcentral describes it as "HSALNT0309163". Lineage: Eukaryota; Metazoa; Chordata; Mammalia; Primates; Hominidae. The record is from RNAcentral.
UCUCUAGGCUACAUGUAUUUUCAACUCUCCAAAAUACUUUCUGGAGAAUUUCAGUAAAAAGAGAAACAAAGAAACAUGUUAACAUGAUCAUGCCAUUACUGACAAAAGGUCUACAAUGAAAGGGAAUAAUCACUUGUAAAAUACUAUUAAACCCAGAUUUUCCAGUAAAAAGUAAGAGAUGUCUAUACUAUCACACGAGGUAAGACAAGCAAGGAGUUGCUGCAUGGCUGCUACAUUCAACAAGCCUUUGGCAUUCCAAAUUCUAGAACUCUCCAUCUCCUACUCACCUCUACGUGUUUCCACACUGCGGGAAAAUCCUUGGGCUGGUUGAUGGUGAUGAAAGUUCAAUCUACAGCUGGAGUGGGAGACAGAGGGAUCCAGACUGACCAAACCAUCAUCUUCAACACGUGGCUCUGGGGGUUAUCCUGGGAUCCUGGGAGACAACAUCCAGCUGACACUAAAAUUUAGUCAUGAGGCCUUAC